Molecule: long non-coding RNA, 409 nt
Organism: Jatropha curcas
Lineage: Eukaryota; Viridiplantae; Streptophyta; Magnoliopsida; Malpighiales; Euphorbiaceae
Source: RefSeq, a predicted model, not a curated record
UCAUGGUAUCCAUUAAAUAUUGUAAUAUCUUGUUCUUAUAUCAAGUUUAAUUGUGCAACAGGUCUUUGCCACUGCUCAAAAGGAGUGCGUGGAUUCUUUCUUUUCACAGAAUUCUUUUAUAAGCUAUGACACUCUGAACAAACUUGGAAUUUCCCAGCCUGUCCAGUUCUUGCAGUCCAGGUAUCCUAAAGGUAUACCUUUAGUUACUGCAUUUGCUCACCCUUCCUUGACUGAGAUGUUAGAUGCUGCUGUUGAGGAUGCUAUUGAGCGUGGUAGCUGAUAAGAGAAAUAAUGAAAUGAUCAAUUUUUUAUUCUUUUGUUUGUGUUUUUUGUUAUCUUGCAAAAUAACAUCAUAAUUGCUUGUAUGCCUUAUUUUUAAUUUGAUAGAUUUUAUUCAAUGUUGAUAAAA